RNAcentral lists this unclassified non-coding RNA (253 nucleotides) under uncultured Alphaproteobacteria bacterium. Its description in RNAcentral is "contains 16S-23S intergenic spacer region". It matches the Rfam family "Bacterial small subunit ribosomal RNA", at positions 524 to 776 of the family's 1533-position model. The record is from RNAcentral. Lineage: Bacteria; Pseudomonadati; Pseudomonadota; Alphaproteobacteria.
UACAGAGGGGGCGAGCGUUAUUCGGAAUUAUUGGACGUAAAGGGCGCGUAGGCGGUCCGGUCAGUUGGAGGUGAAAGCCCUGGGCUCAACCUGGGAGGUGCCUUCGAUACGGCCGGACUUGAGAGCGGGAGAGGAUGACGGAAUUCCCAGUGUAGAGGUGAAAUUCGUAGAUAUUGGGAAGAACACCGGUGGCGAAGGCGGUCAUCUGGCCCGUUUCUGACGCUGAGGCGCGAAAGCGUGGGGAGCAAACAGG